AUUGAACGCUGGCGGCAGGCCUAACACAUGCAAGUCGAGCGAGCGGCGGACGGGUGAGUAAUGUCUGGGCAACUGCCUGAUGGUGGGGGAUAACUACUGGAAUCGGUAGCUAAUACCGCAUACCAUCAGAUGUGCCCAGAUGGGAUUAGCUAGUAGGUGGGGUAACGGCUCACCUAGGCGACGAUCCCUAGCUGGUCUGAGAGGAUGACCAGGAACACGGGAACUGAGACACGGUCCAGACUCCAACGGGAGGCAGCAGUGGGGAAUAUUGCACAAUGGGCGCAAGCCUGAUGCAGCCAGGCCGCGUGUAUGAAGAAGGGCAUCGGGUUGUAAAGGACUUUCAGCGGGGAGGCGUUACCCGCAGAAGAAGCACCGGCUAACUCCGUGCCAGCAGCCGCGGUAAUUC
Molecule: ribosomal RNA, 406 nt
Filed under: uncultured bacterium
Lineage: Bacteria
Description: partial 16S ribosomal RNA
Rfam family: Bacterial small subunit ribosomal RNA
Source: RNAcentral